Molecule: ribosomal RNA, 253 nt
Filed under: uncultured bacterium
Lineage: Bacteria
Description: partial 16S ribosomal RNA
Rfam family: Bacterial small subunit ribosomal RNA
Source: RNAcentral
UACGUAGGGGGCAAGCGUUAUCCGGAUUUACUGGGUGUAAAGGGAGCGUAGACGGCGAUGCAAGUCUGAAGUGAAAGGCGGGGGCUCAACCCCCGGACUGCUUUGGAAACUGUAUGGCUGGAGUGCAGGAGAGGUAAGUGGAAUUCCUAGUGUAGCGGUGAAAUGCGUAGAUAUUAGGAGGAACACCAGUGGCGAAGGCGGCUUACUGGACUGUAACUGACGUUGAGGCUCGAAAGCGUGGGGAGCAAACAGG